CAGGCAGGAAGGAAACGGUCAGAUUGGGCUGUUUUGGGUGCUGAGGACCCACGAAUGACACUCUCUUGGUCUUGAAAACCUCAGAGAAAGCCGAGAGGGAGAAAAGAUCACAGGUCCUUGGUGUUCAGCAUGGUUUUCUCAGCAAGGAUCCCGACCAGUAGGAGCUGCUCAGAAGUGUAUGUCCUGCCCACCCCGCCCCUUCCAGGGCCCCCUGCAUUAGACACUGCAGUUGGGGGCCAGCAGCUGACCCCUGACAAGCCCUCCAGGUGAGUGGGAUGCAUGCCCCAUGGGCGAGAAUCACGGGUGACGUGUAGCUAUUUUCAGCCUUGGCUGCACAUUGGAACCUCUUGGCUUUCAAGCCACAAGGGGACCGUGCCUCAGACCCAUUGCAUCAGGCCCUCUAGGCUUGGGACCGGCACCUGUGGUUGAUUUGAAGCCAGCCAAGGUCAAGUGCGGUGGUGCACUGGAAGGUGGUUUUGGGGUCAGCCAGACUCAAGUUCAAAUCCCAGCUUUCUCACUUGCCAGACUCAAGUUCAAAUCCCAGCUUUCUCACUUGCUGGCUGUUUGACCCUGGGCAAGGCACACCCCUUUCCUGGCCCCCAGGAAGUUUCCUGUGCUGGACAAUUGAAAUCCUCUUUCCUGCCUGGCAGAAUUUGUUUGAGGACUGAGCAAAGCGUCCUGUGUAUGGAAGCACCUAGAACAAAACCUGGUGCCCCGAGGGAGUUCAGUACAUGAUGGCUCUUCUCUGCUCCCUUCUGUUGGACUCUGGGAUUUUUCCAGAGCAGGGACCACUCCUAGUUUUCUUUGCAUCCCCAGGGAAUAAUUCAUCGCGUGUGCCCUGCACGGCUGGGAGAGAGCUGGGGAAGUGGGCAUGUGAGAGGCUCAGCUACCGGAUUUCUUCCCUUACAGCCCGGCUGCCAUGGGCUAGGAUCACCUUUCUCUGCAUCGUCUUAACUAAGGUCUCCAAGUCACCCACAAGAGAGAUUAAAUUCUGCAUUUCUGCCUGGCCUGGGCCCCCCCCACCACCUCCUACCACUGAGGAAUUUUCUCAUCUGUAA
RNAcentral lists this long non-coding RNA (1058 nucleotides) under Felis catus (domestic cat). Its description in RNAcentral is "lncRNA (ENSFCAG00000051057.1)". Lineage: Eukaryota; Metazoa; Chordata; Mammalia; Carnivora; Felidae. The record is from RNAcentral.